AUGGAUACUAAUAGGUACAUUAAUAAUGAAAGUGUGUUAAAUCGUAAAAUUUCAAAAAAGAAUACAAAAAGAGCUUUUGAAAAUAUUAACGAUUACAAAAAUGAAGAUAAUUACGUAAGUAAUAUGAAAAAUAUGCCCCCACCAAAUAAAAAAAGUAAAUUUUGUUUUUGUUCUACAGAUCAAAAUGAAAACAAUUAUGAUUUAAACAGAAUUAAUAAAAACUCGACUAUGAAAAGAAAAAAAAAGUUAGAAAUAAAUUAUAAUGAAAUGAAAAAAAAAAUAAAAAUUACACCUGAUGAUGAAAAUGAUUAUAAUUUGUUUAAUACAUUAUCAUCAAAUAAAAUAAAUAUGUCCAAUUUUAAUAAAAUUAAUGAAUUACAAAAAAAAAAAAAUUUUAAUUAUUCAGCAUAUAAUAGGUUGAAAGAAAAUUCACCAAACAACUCUUUUUUUAACUUAACAACUAAUAAUAUAUAUACCAGUAGUAAUAAUGAAAAAAACAAUGACUACUUAUUAUCAAAAAAUAACACAGAAGAAAAUACAAACGCAUGCUCUGAAUUAGCUAUAAUUCCGUUUGAAGAGAACACAAAUACAAGCAUUAUACCAUACAAUUAUACUUAUGGGAAUAAUUUAUUUUAUAAUAAUAACAAUGUAAAAAAUAUUUUUAAUAUGCUUCCAAAAAAUAAUGUUAUAUACGACAAUUUGUUAAUAAAUAAUAAAUUAAAUAAUCAUAAACCAUGGAUAAUUAAGCAUGAUGAUUUAAGUUUAUUAUUAAAUAAAUAUGAAAAUAAUGAAAAUAAGUUAAAUAAUUGUAAAAUAAAUGAUAAUAAAAAUGCUCCAAAUAUACAACAGAAUUAUGAAGUAGUAUGUUAUAAUAGCACACUAAAUAAUCCAGCUAAUAUAAACUGUAAUAAUAAUUCAAUAAACAAUACUACUACGGUUACUACAACUGCUAAUAAUAACGGCACUUUUAAUUAUAAUAAAAUAUAUAAUAAUGUACCAAACGUUUAUUACAAAUUUGGUAGCAAUAAUAAUAAUAAUAAUAAUAUCGCAUUAAAUAUUAAAAGUGAAAGUUAUCACUUAAAUAAUUUAAAUAAUGAAUAUUAUGUAAAUGGAGUAUCGAACGGAAUGGUGGCUAGCCCAAUGAGCUCAGACAUUAUUACUGAUACAAGUACAACAGCAAACACUCCUACACUGACUAACGUAAACAAUGUGACCGGAAUAAACAACAUGUCGAACAUGGUUAACAUGAUCAACAUAAAUAAUAUGAACUGCAUAAACAAUACACCAAGCGAUUCCAAUUUGUAUUUAGACAACAUAAACACUAAUCCGGAUCCUUCUAUUAAUAACAUAAAAAAUAAACUACCUAGUGUCAAUAUGGUGAUCGGACAAAAUGAUAUAUGUAAUAACAUCGAAAAUGAGUAUGUUAAUGUAAAUAUAAAUGAUUAUAUAACAAACAAAUCAACAAACAAAGAGCCUAUUUUGUUUUACAUGAAUAAUAAUAGUAAUAGUAAUUAUAACAAUACUAAUACCUAG
This 1533-nucleotide long non-coding RNA is filed under the name Piliocolobus tephrosceles (Ugandan red Colobus). RNAcentral describes it as "lncRNA (ENSPTEG00000034481.1)". The record is from RNAcentral. Lineage: Eukaryota; Metazoa; Chordata; Mammalia; Primates; Cercopithecidae.